Molecule: small nucleolar RNA, 81 nt
Filed under: Echinops telfairi (small Madagascar hedgehog)
Lineage: Eukaryota; Metazoa; Chordata; Mammalia; Afrosoricida; Tenrecidae
Source: RNAcentral
GAGUCCUCAUGAUAUCGAGGACUGGGCUUGAACUGGCUCUAAGGACACUGCUCCUUGGACAACUGGUGGUCUGAGGCGUCC